CUGCAGAAUCCAAACUAUCUCGGACAAAACGAAAAAGGAUUCAUUGCUCCUCUGUAUAAAGAUACAAGAUACAGAUCCUUGUUACACAUCAAACUGUUCCAUUAAAGAACGAUAUAAGAGAGGAAUAGAUACCAAGGUAGACACUAAUGAGACUAGUUAUCAGAUCAAAAACAGUCUAAAAGAUGUUGAUCUGUUCUGUAGCUUUGAAAAAGCUGGAGACAGAUACGUAGAAGACAAACCUUUAAACAUGAGGUGCCAAAAUGAGUCAAGUCAUCAUGCGGUUUUCAGCACGAAUAAAGUAAUUAAUAGCUUCCAAGACACAUCGACAAUCAAACAAGGAUGUAUAUGUAAUUCACAAACUGCAGAAGGUAUGUUUCUGAAAAUUAAAUAAGAGACCGUUGAUUAAUGUUGCUUGAUGAACACAAUUUGAAAAAUAUAUAUUUUAAAUUAUAAAAAUGAAAAUUGGAAAAUUGUACAUUCACAGUCUAUAAAGCUUUAGGUGCUAGUUAAUGAUUAGAAACACGACAAAAUAUCAUUAUGACGCAUGUGCAUAAUUGUAAUAACACAGACCCUUACCUUUUUUUAUUUUAAGUAUUUGUCCAAUGCUUCUAAAUCAUUUUUAUCAAUAAUGUAUUACAGUAACUGUUGAUCACAAUUAUAAAGACUGUUUCAAAAGAAAUUUGGAAUUUUAAAGCAAUAAUAAGAUAGCCAUCACGUAAUAGUGUCGGUACAGAUUCAUCUCUUUACGUCAACUAAGCAAUGAAUCCAGUGUUUUACAAUGUAAUGAAAAUGUAUUUCUUGUAAGGUAAACCAAAUUAUAUUCAAUUUCAAAUAUUUAAUUACAAUUAUGGCUUCAUUAUUAGACUUGGAAUGCAUGGUCACCCGGGGCACCCCAAAAUUUUAAUUGAAAGGUCAUUUAUCACUUGAUAAUUAUCAUUUGUAUUUUGGAAAACUCCGCGGAAAUGCCGAAUGCUUUUACAUUAUGAGUUUGACAAAAGUUAUAACUUCUAAUCUGCAAAAUUUGAACGUUCAGAGUUUAAAAUGGCUGAGAAAUCGAGGUUAAAAUCUAUUAAGUCAGGAUCGGCAUUGAUCGAAAAAGGACUUUUCGGAAAAGGUGGAGCAGAGAGCAGUAAUAAAAUUCUGCGUAGACAUAGGGAAAACAGCAAAAGAUACCCAUAAAUGCUAUUAACAGUCGGGAAAAAAUAGUAAAGGAAGUCGUUCUUAAGUAUUUAAGUGGAAUAUAAAAUUUUGGGAACGAAGGAAUAGUUUACAGGAUGCCAUGCUUGAAGGAAGACCAUCAUUCCGAGAUUGCAGUGCUGUAAAAAAUGAAUUUCUUAGCGUGACUUUGAUGAUUUGCUGGAUCUGAGAACAGGAAGUAUUAAAUAUCAUUUUAAAUAUGAAAUCUGAAUAUUUGUACACAUUUUUGAUGACUGAUUAAAGGGACAUAAGAAAUGUAUUGAGUUAAACGAUGACUGUGUUACGAAAAUUCCCAUGUAUUGAUAUUUUGACGUCAGGUACAGUCAAGGAUUUCUGUUUUAGUACUCCGGAUAUGAAUGUGUUUUGUAUCUGAUAAACAUACAUUGUAUAACUAUUUGUGUUUUGCUUUUUUUAAAAUUUGCGUUUGUAUAAAAUGAAACAAUAUUUUAUGAAAAUAAUAGUUUCAUAUAUUUUAUCAAUGUUUGUCAGUAAUUAUCAAUGUUUUUAAUUACAGGAACGAGCAAUGAAAGACAAAGCGACAUGUGGUAACUAGACACAACCUAGAAGGAAACGAAGCACGGGGGAAAACAAAUCUUGCCAAAAUAUUUUGAAAUUCUUGUGGAGCGAUAGCCGGGGUGGUGAUUGGCUGCCUGAUUGGUUUUGCACUUUUGAUCGCCUUAAUUGUUGUUUGCUGUAACAUCAUGAACAAAAAUAGAGGCACGGCGGGACGAGUUGUAUAUCCUAACAACGGCUCAAAUAACGUCACUGUUGAGAACUCAUCCAAUCGGAAUCCUUAUACAGAUUAUUUAGAUGGUCCUAUUCAACCCCCAGGAUACGCCCAGUCUACUUAUUUCUCAGGGACCUGGACCCGUGGACCGGCCUAUC
Long non-coding RNA from Saccostrea cuccullata (small rock oyster), 2082 nucleotides. RefSeq lists it as uncharacterized. The transcript is spliced from 3 exons. The record is from RefSeq and is a predicted model, not a curated record. NCBI's taxonomy places the organism in Eukaryota, Metazoa, Mollusca, Bivalvia, Ostreida, Ostreidae.